This is a long non-coding RNA of Sinocyclocheilus grahami, 246 nucleotides long. RefSeq lists it as uncharacterized. The transcript has 3 exons. NCBI's taxonomy places the organism in Eukaryota, Metazoa, Chordata, Actinopteri, Cypriniformes, Cyprinidae. The record is from RefSeq and is a predicted model, not a curated record.
GUUUGCUGAAACAUCCAAGAACUCUGCUGACUUCUCAGACCUGACAAAGUUUGGUGCCUCCUCAAAUCAGACAGAUGUUGUUACUCUCACUACUUGUGAUUCUCCCCGACCCGCAGUGAUCCGCUGAUGUACUACAAAUGUUUCCUCAUUUCUUGGAUGUCAAAGGACUUAUUGUGCAAGAGUUCUCACUGAUGUUUGGAGCAGAGGCUGCUUCAAAGUUCCUGGAAAAAUGGAACACCAGUUUUA